This is a long non-coding RNA of Leptidea sinapis, 1093 nucleotides long. RefSeq lists it as uncharacterized. The record is from RefSeq and is a predicted model, not a curated record. The transcript is spliced from 2 exons. Lineage: Eukaryota; Metazoa; Arthropoda; Insecta; Lepidoptera; Pieridae.
AGGUCGCAGCUGCGGCGGCGUUAUACAUAAACACAACAGUCAUAAUGUCAAUUGUUGUUAAUGAAUCUUUUACAUUUUAAGUUUUAACAAAACUAAAUCAAGACUUAAAAGGAGAUGGUGGAUGAUAAAUAUGCACAGAAAUCGUAAUAGCAAAACGAUGAAAAAAUAUAUUUUCUGACCUGCUAGCUGAAUCAAGUCGACAGAUUAUUGGAUUUAUUCGAAUGUCAGCGACUGAUUUACAACAGCGAAACAUGAAACUCGGUUUCGAGAAACUAUUCCAGCAAAAGUACGCUUAGCAGUCACAUUUAGAUAUUUAGCUUCUGGUAAUAGUUUCAGAAAUUACAUUACUUGUUUAAAAUGUCUCAUAAGGUUAUUUCGAAGAUUGUCAGAGAAUGUUGUGCUGCUCUUAUAACUGCCAUGAAAGACUUAAGUAAUAUAGCUCGAGUCAAAACGAGUGGCUACAGAAGAAGGCCGAUUUUAGUGACGGAUUUCCACAUUGCAUAGGGGCUCUUGAUGGCAACCAUACAGUGGUGACAAUGGUUCUGAAUAUUUUAAUUACAAACAUUCCUUUAGUAUUGUGAUGAUGGCAUUGGUGGAUAGUAAUUUUUGUUUUAUGUACUGUGGUGUUGGAUGUAAGGGAAGAAUUAGUGAUGGUGGUGUAUUUAGAGACAGUGUUUUAUAUGAAAGACUACAUACUAAAACACUAAAGUUGCCACAACCUACAACCAAACUUACCAGGAGGUGAACAUCCAGAAGAAAGUAUGCAAUGAAGAUAUAAUCAAAAAUUAUUGUCUGUUCAUAUUGUUGUUGAAAAUGCAUUUGGCAUAAUGUCAGCUUGAUUUUGGGGUACUUAGGGCACCUAUAGCUCUUCAACCACAUGAAGCUUUAAAAGUAUGGCUUGUGCCCUGUUGCUAACUUAUUAAAGAAAAGUUCCAACUCAAGAUCUUCUUACACUUCACCAGGCUAUGCUGACUAGAUAUUGCAUGGAGAAUUAAUAAGAUCAGGUAAUUAGAGAGAAGAUAUUGUAAAUGGCAGUGGUGCUUUAAGGAGAAUAGGAUAGUGAUUUAAGAAAAUAAAAAAUAUAAAGAAAUAA